Amaranthus tricolor (Joseph's coat) is the source of this 1825-nucleotide RNA transcript. RefSeq lists it as uncharacterized. The record is from RefSeq and is a predicted model, not a curated record. The transcript is spliced from 8 exons. Lineage: Eukaryota; Viridiplantae; Streptophyta; Magnoliopsida; Caryophyllales; Amaranthaceae.
UGCGUCAUUGGGUUUCCACAAAAUUAGAUAUUUUUAUGUGAUUUUAUUCAUCAUCCAUAGUCAGAGUAAAAUCCUGAGAAAAUUCAAAUGCAAAUGCAAAUCCAAAUCCAAUGUUAUGGAAACCAUUGCCUUUUCAAGUUACCUUCCACUGUAACUGACCUCCAUAGCUUUCCUUCCACUUCCUCCAGGAAGGUGCUUGAUGUCAUUCGAGUCAUUAAAGAUGAUUCUAACAAGUCAAAUGUCAAAAAGGCCCUUUUAGCUGCCAGAAAGAAGGAAAGAAUGAAGUUGCCUUUUUAUGAGAAUGGCCGUUUCGGUGAAAUGUAUCACAUAAGUGAGUUUUUGAAGCACCCAAAUGGAAUUAAAGCAAUGUUGAAUGUUAAUGCUUUGGAAAAUUAUGUAUCAAUCAACACCAACACGUAUAGGUGCAAACUUCCUCCGAUUCAGUUUCUGAACUUUGAGGUGGCCCCGGUGUUGGACUUAGAAGUGAAUCCAGCCACGGAAUGUUGCACAGUUGAGCUGUUGUCUUGUAAGUUUGAGGGCUCAGACAUAGUGGAGAACCAGAACAAGUAUUUCUCAGCAACCAUGAAAAAUUUCAUAACUUGGAACGAAGCUGGCUCAGAAUCAUUUCUGGAUGUUGAUGUGAAGUUGAAUAUGAAUCUUGAGAUAUACACCCAACCGUUUACUUACCUUCCUGUAUCAGCUGUUGAAGGCCCUGGAAAUCUAGUUUUACAGGCACUCUUGGACAGAUUAGUUCCAAUUCUGUUGCAGCAAUUGUUAAAAGACUAUGAUGCUUGGGUUAAGCAACAAUGUAAAUAUCUUCAAUAAUUCCAGGUUAUAGUGUACAGAUUGUACAUCUUCUGAUGGUCCUUUCUUGACUUCUCUGCUUCAGCUUCACUCAGUACUAUUCGUUGCUUCUCAAGUUGAGGGACUCUUUGGCCGAGCUCUCCUUUUUGGAUAUGAGUAGCCGCCUACCUUCUCUCCCCAGAUCCUGCUCAUUAUUUUUCUUUGGGUGGAAUACAAUGGAUAUGAUGAUGAUGAUAUUAAGUGGCUCCCACCUAGAGUGGUGUUUUAGGGUCAGAUGUACACAACCUUUAACCUUGUUAGUGACAACAAAGAGGUUGUUUUGAUUGACUCGUAGUAGCAAACAUCAUCUGCAACUUCUUAAUCACAUAUUUAAGAAGUGCACAUGAUGGAAUAUUGCAAGUAAACAUCUUUGUUGGGUUCCAUCACAUUAUGUCUACGUAAUCCUAUACCAUCAAUGCUGUUAAUAUAAGUGUCCUGCAAAACGUUUGCAGGUAAUCUUCCGUUUCACUUGAAUAAUAAUCGAUACUUGGGCUCACUGAGACUUGUUAAUAUGUACUUUUCGGAGAACUACUAUUUCAUCAAUGGUAUAGGAAGUAACUGUUGGAGCAAAACUGUGAUGAUGUUGACAUUAGCUGCAGAAGCCCGUGCUAGUGUUAUUGACACAUUUUGAAGAUCACAAAUUUCAAUUUUUCCUUUCACCCAGUUCCAGACUUGAAGUCAAUUGUCGUUCUCGAAUGGAGAUGGAACCUUUUGCCUCUAUGUCGUUUAUAUAAGCAACAAGUUAACGUUGUUUUAGUUUCAUUGUGGCUUCUCGUUGUUUACCGUUGUUCUAGAAGAAUAGAGUUAUUCAUUCCCUUACUGAUGAGCAUUGUUUAAAACUUAAGAUCAGUGCUAAACUUAUUACGUCGUAGGACAAAAAACGUACAAAUAUUGUUAUGUAUUGAGGUGUAUAUUUAGUUGUUUGGUUGGGUUUGAGGCAUAAUAUAAUUGCAUUAGAUAUUUUUAGUUUAUUGAUGCAAAA